UACAGAGGGUGCGAGCGUUACUCGGAAUUACUGGGCGUAAAGCGCACGUAGGCGGCUACUCAAGUCAGAGGUGAAAGCCCAGGGCUCAACCUUGGAACUGCCUUUGAAACUAGGUAGCUAGAAUUCUGGAGAGGUCAGUGGAAUUCCGAGUGUAGAGGUGAAAUUCGUAGAUAUUCGGAAGAACACCAGUGGCGAAGGCGACUGACUGGACAGAUAUUGACGCUGAGGUGCGAAAGCGUGGGGAGCAAACAGG
This 253-nucleotide ribosomal RNA is filed under the name uncultured bacterium. Its description in RNAcentral is "partial 16S ribosomal RNA". It matches the Rfam family "Bacterial small subunit ribosomal RNA", at positions 524 to 776 of the family's 1533-position model. The record is from RNAcentral.